This 235-nucleotide ribosomal RNA is filed under the name uncultured bacterium. RNAcentral describes it as "partial 16S ribosomal RNA". It matches the Rfam family "Bacterial small subunit ribosomal RNA", at positions 82 to 334 of the family's 1533-position model. The record is from RNAcentral.
UCCUUCGGGGUGAGCGGCAGACGGGUGAGUAACGCGUGGGAAUCUACCCAACUCUACGGAAUAACUCAGGGAAACUUGUGCUAAUACCGUAUACGCCCUUCGGGGGAAAGAUUUAUCGGAGUUGGAUGAGCCCGCGUUGGAUUAGCUAGUUGGUGGGGUAAAGGCCUACCAAGGCGACGAUCCAUAGCUGGUCUGAGAGGAUGAUCAGCCACAUUGGGACUGAGACACGGCCCAA